UACGGGGGGAGCAAGCGUUGUCCGGAUUUACUGGGCGUAAAGGGCGCGUAGGCGGUCUGACAAGUCACUUGUGAAAUCUCCGGGCUUAACCUGGGAACUGCAUUUGUGACUGCAUGGCUGGAGUGCGGCAGAGGGGGAUGGAAUUCCGCGUGUAGCAGUGAAAUGCGUAGAUAUGCGGAGGAACACCGAUGGCGAAGGCAAUCCCCUGGGCCUGCACUGACGCUCAUGCACGAAAGCGGUGGGAGCAAACAGG
RNAcentral lists this ribosomal RNA (253 nucleotides) under uncultured bacterium. RNAcentral describes it as "partial 16S ribosomal RNA". It matches the Rfam family "Bacterial small subunit ribosomal RNA", at positions 524 to 776 of the family's 1533-position model. The record is from RNAcentral.